This 466-nucleotide ribosomal RNA is filed under the name uncultured bacterium. RNAcentral's name for it is "bacterial SSU rRNA". It matches the Rfam family "Bacterial small subunit ribosomal RNA", at positions 329 to 793 of the family's 1533-position model. The record is from RNAcentral.
UCCCAGACUCCUACGGGAGGCAGCAGUGAGGAAUAUUGGUCAAUGGGCGGGAGCCUGAACCAGCCAAGCCGCGUGAGGGAAGAAGGUACAGCGUAUCGUAAACCUCUUUUGUCAGGGAACAAAGGCGGGGACUAGUCCCCGGAUGAGGGUACCUGAAGAAAAAGCAUCGGCUAACUCCGUGCCAGCAGCCGCGGUAAUACGGAGGAUGCGAGCGUUAUCCGGAUUUAUUGGGUUUAAAGGGUGCGCAGGCGGUCUGUUAAGUCAGCGGUAAAAGCCCGGGGCUCAACCCCGGUCCGCCGUUGAAACUGGCAGUCUCGAGUUGGAGAGAAGUAUGCGGAAUGCGCGGUGUAGCGGUGAAAUGCAUAGAUAUCGCGCAGAACUCCGAUUGCGAAGGCAGCAUGCCGGCUCCACACUGACGCUGAGGCACGAAAGCGUGGGUAUCGAACAGGAUUAGAUACCCGUGUAA